UAGGGAAUCUUCGGCAAUGGACGAAAGUCUGACCGAGCAACGCCGCGCGAGCGAAGAAGGUCUUCGGGUCGUUAAGCUCUGUUGUUAGAGAGGAACAUGGGUGAGAGUAACUGUUCACCCCUUGACGAUAUCUAACCAGAAAGCCACGGCUAACUACGUGCCAGCAGCCGCGGUAAUACGUAGGUGGCAAGCGUUGUCCGGAAUUCUUGGGCGUAAAGCGCGCGCUGGCGGUCUCUUAAGUCUGAUGUGAAAGCCCCCGGCUCAACCGGGUAGGGUCAUUGGAAACUGGGAGACUUGGGGACAGAAGAGGAGAGUGGAAUUCCAAGGGGAGCGGGGAAAUGCGUAGAUAUGUGGAGGAACACCAGUGGCGAAGGCGGCUCUCUGGUCUGUUACUGACGUUGGGGC
RNAcentral lists this ribosomal RNA (405 nucleotides) under uncultured Brochothrix sp. RNAcentral's name for it is "bacterial SSU rRNA". It matches the Rfam family "Bacterial small subunit ribosomal RNA", at positions 355 to 752 of the family's 1533-position model. Lineage: Bacteria; Bacillati; Bacillota; Bacilli; Caryophanales; Listeriaceae. The record is from RNAcentral.